RNAcentral lists this ribosomal RNA (732 nucleotides) under uncultured bacterium. RNAcentral describes it as "bacterial SSU rRNA". It matches the Rfam family "Bacterial small subunit ribosomal RNA", at positions 28 to 776 of the family's 1533-position model. The record is from RNAcentral.
GAUGAACGCUGACAGAAUGCUUAACACAUGCAAGUCGAUUCAAAGUUCCCUUCGGGGAAUGGAGGAUGGCGGACGGGUGAGUAACGCGUAAGGAACUUGCCUUUUGGCCUGGGACAACUGUUGGAAACGACAGCUAAUACCGGAUAUUAUGAGAUUCUCGCAUGAGAAACUUAUGAAAGCUAUAUGCGCCAAAAGAGAGCCUUGCGUUCCAUUAGCUAGUUGGUGGGGUAACGGCCCACCAAGGCGACGAUGGAUAGCCGGCCUGAGAGGGUGAACGGCCACAAGGGGACUGAGACACGGCCCUUACUCCUACGGGAGGCAGCAGUGGGGAAUAUUGGACAAUGGACCACAAGUCUGAUCCAGCAAUUCUGUGUGCACGAUGAAGGUUUUCGGAUCGUAAAGUGCUUUCAGUUGGGAAGAAGAAAGUGACGGUACCAACAGAAGAAGCGACGGCUAAAUACGUGCCAGCAGCCGCGGUAAUACGUAUGUCGCAAGCGUUAUCCGGAUUUAUUGGGCGUAAAGCGCGUCUAGGCGGAAAAGAAAGUCUGAUGUUAAAAUGCGGGGCUCAACUCCGUAUUGCGUUGGAAACUGCUUUUCUAGAGUACUGGAGAGGUGGGCGGAACUACAAGUGUAGAGGUGAAAUUCGUAGAUAUUUGUAGGAAUGCCGAUGGAGAAGUCAGCUCACUGGACAGAUACUGACGCUAAAGCGCGAAAGCGUGGGGAGCAAACAGG